UUUGAUGGAGCCGAGCCAGAGCGGCUCCGAGCGGUCCUGGCCGUAGGUGGCGAGCAGGGCCUGGGCUUC
Molecule: antisense RNA, 69 nt
Filed under: Micromonospora sp. HK10
Lineage: Bacteria; Bacillati; Actinomycetota; Actinomycetes; Micromonosporales; Micromonosporaceae
Description: ASpks sRNA
Rfam family: ASpks TB sRNA
Source: RNAcentral